RNAcentral lists this long non-coding RNA (1618 nucleotides) under Ixodes scapularis (black-legged tick). RNAcentral's name for it is "uncharacterized LOC120843838". The record is from RNAcentral. Lineage: Eukaryota; Metazoa; Arthropoda; Arachnida; Ixodida; Ixodidae.
UUCUAUUCCGUCCCGUCCGUGCACACAAAGGCCUGUUUGAACCUUGAACGUGCGUGGGUCAAAUGAUUGUUUAGGAAGUCUGUAUGAUGGCGAAAAAACUGCAGGUGACUAGAAGCUGCCAAUGAGCUGCCAGUCCGGAUGGCAGCUGUCAACACGGCAAGGGCCUGCAGGCGCAUCAGCUCUCCCCCCGUUCCUCUACUGCCAUUGGAGACAGGAUGCCUUGUAAAAAGAUUGUUUCUUUUCUUCAGUGGGAGCUCAUGAAGGUGGCACUGUGCACAGAGGGACAGAGUGGCUGACAGUGAGCUGCCCAAGACAACCUGCUGGCUCUCGUGACCAUCUCCGAAAGCCUCUGGAUGGGCUAAUUGACAGGCGUGCCUGGACAUUUAAAAACGGCUGCUCUUAUAUGCACCAUGAAGAUAUCGAAAAGGUCUCCAAUUGAACGACAACUAUAAGCACAAGCAUGGAGGGGCAUCUAGAUGGCGAGCGCAAGGACAACUGUAAUGUAAAAUUUCUCCCAACUUAAAGCAAGGCAUGCCUUUUUCCAAUAAAGGCAUUGUGGCAAAACUUCUUAAUUGGUUUGUUUGUUCAGCUGUCAUCUCUACGAACAGCUGAUCUCACACAAACAAAAUCCCGGCAAUGAGUAGUAGAGGUUGUGUGCUCUUUUUCUUGUUGAACUCUUUUUGUUUUGUUUAAGGAUAAAAAAUUAUACAAGUUAGUAUAUUGAAUGACGGAGCCCAUGAACUCUCCAUACCAAUCCAUACCUCAAAAGUUUCAUGUGACUUCGGCUUGCUUGAACAUGGAAGCUGUUUGCACUAAAUAACGGAGCACUAGACCUUUCUGUCUUCUUGAAGCCUAUAGCUACGAGCCAUCCGCACCAAUCCUGCAGCUCCGAUACGUCAGGUGACACCCCUGGCAAAGGUAUAGCCCUUCCAGGGGAGUCGCCUGAUGUGUCGGAGGUGCGGGUGGUACGGAUGGCUCGUAACUUUGGCCUUAUCUAUGGCCGAAAGGUAUAGUGCUUCAUUAUUUAGUGCCGACAGCUUUCAUAAUUCCUACGGAUAGCCCUCCGUGGUGAGCUACAGACAUUCCGUCAUUUCACGAAAUUAUGUGCCUUGUUUUUACAGACUGUCCAGUUUCUAGAUUACGGGAAAUCUUGCCGGCAAUAUAAAACCAGCAACUUUUACCAAGAAAAUGGGAAAACGGAUAACUGUCUAUUAAGUGGAAUAUAGACGUUCCGUCAUUUUACAAAAUUAUAUGCCUUGUUUUUAACAGACUGUUCGGUUUCUAUAUUACGGGAAACCAUGCUGGCACUAUAAAACCCGUAACUUUUACCCAUAAAAUUGAGUGAAAUUUUUUUGCAGUGCUCCCAUACCCCUUGUCCAAGUCGAAGAUGGUCAGACAUCUCCAAUUCCCACUAAAAUGAAGCAUCCGUUUCCAUUGAAAAUAAAGAGUUUCACAUUUGAUGUCGUAGUACGUCAUUCGCAUUCUUACGUAUUUCAAGAAGACAUUUAAAUCCCAAAAUGGUUCAACGAUAACGGCCACACAACAUUUUGAAAGACGGCUGUAAAACGGUUUCGAAAGACGGCCGAAAAACGGUUGACGACAUCGGUCACAAAACGGU